GCUAAACGCGAAGAACCUUACCAGCCCUUGACAUGGUCGGACGGUUACCAGAGAUGGUUUCCUUCACUUCGGUGACUGACACACAGGUGCUGCAUGGCUGUCGUCAGCUCGUGUCGUGAGAUGUUGGGUUAAGUCCCGCAACGAGCGCAACCCUCGCCCUUAGUUGCCAUCAUUCAGUUGGGCACUCUAAGGGGACUGCCGGUGAUAAGCCGGAGGAAGGUGGGGAUGACGUCAAGUCUUCAUGGCCCUUACGGGCUGGGCUACGCACGUGCUACAAUGGUGGUGACAGAGGGCUGCUAGGCCGCGAGGCCAUGCUAAUCCCAAAAAGCCAUCUCAGUUCGGAUUGCACUCUGCAACUCGGGUGCAUGAAGUCGGAAUCGCUAGUAAUCGCAGAUCAGCACGCUGCGGUGAAUACGUUCCCGGGUCUUGUACACACCG
This 438-nucleotide ribosomal RNA is filed under the name uncultured bacterium. Its description in RNAcentral is "bacterial SSU rRNA". It matches the Rfam family "Bacterial small subunit ribosomal RNA", at positions 954 to 1392 of the family's 1533-position model. The record is from RNAcentral.